GGAGAUGUGGCUGAGCUGGUCGAAGGCGCCUGACUCGAAAUCAGGUAUACGGGUAACCGUAUCAGAGGUUCGAAUCCUCUCAUCUCCG
This 88-nucleotide transfer RNA is filed under the name bacterium. RNAcentral describes it as "tRNA-Ser". It matches the Rfam family "tRNA". Rfam says of the family: Transfer RNA (tRNA) molecules are approximately 80 nucleotides in length. Their secondary structure includes four short double-helical elements and three loops (D, anti-codon, and T loops). Further hydrogen bonds mediate the characteristic L-shaped molecular structure. tRNAs have two regions of fundamental functional importance: the anti-codon, which is responsible for specific mRNA codon recognition, and the 3' end, to which the tRNAs corresponding amino acid is attached (by aminoacyl-tRNA synthetases). tRNAs cope with the degeneracy of the genetic code in two manners: having more than one tRNA (with a specific anti-codon) for a particular amino acid; and 'wobble' base-pairing, i.e. permitting non-standard base-pairing at the 3rd anti-codon position. The record is from RNAcentral.